GCUGUAACAGUCUUGAAGUCAGCAUGGACAUGAAUUUGUCAGCGCGUUGUGCUUUGGUUCUUUUUCUGUUGGCAUUUGUACAUUUGAAAAUAGUCUCUGCUACAGACAAGCCUGGAGUGUGCCCUCGUAGACGAUGGGGCAUGGGGAUAUGUGUAGAGUUAUGUUCCAAUGACAGUGACUGCCCCAAUGAUGAAAAAUGCUGCUACAAUGGAUGUGGGCAUGUCUGCAUUGCACCUUACACAGACAAGCCUGGAGUGUGCCCUCGUAGACGAUGGGGCAUGGGGAUAUGUGUAGAGUUAUGUUCCAAUGACAGUGACUGCCCCAAUGAUGAAAAAUGCUGCUACAAUGGAUGUGGGCAUGUCUGCAUUGCACCUUACACAGACAAGCCUGGAAUGUGCCCUCGUAGACGAUGGGGCAUAGGGAUAUGUGCAGAGUUAUGUUCCAAGGACAGUGACUGCCCCAAUGAUGAAAAAUGCUGCCACAAUGGAUGUGGGCGUGACUGCAUUGCACCUACACAGGUAGGAUAUGGUCCCAGAGUGACAGAUACACCCAUCUAUUGCAUUCAUUAUUACUGCAUUACUCUGGAAACAAGAAAGAUGGAGCUUGUAAUGUACAUUUCAUACACAUAGAUAUAUAUUUUUCACAUACUCUCUUUAGAGCUGAGGCACUAAAUUAAUAAGAUUUCCAAGAUCCAUGCAGGCCUUUAGAGUAUAUACCAAUGUUGUGCAACAUCUAUACACUCUGAGUAUACCAAACAUUAGGAACACUUCCCUUUUUUUGAGUUGCACCCCUUUUGCCCUCAGAAAAGCCUCAAUGGAUCAGGGCAUGGACUCUGCAAGGUGUUGAAAGCAGUCCAUAGGGAUGCUGGCCCAUGUUGACUCCAAUGCUUCUCACAGUUGUGUCAUGUUGGCUGGAUGUCUUUUGGUUGGUGGACUGUUGGUGGCAGGGUAGCCUAGUACAUUUUUACAUUUUAGUCAUUUAGCAGACGCUCUUAUCCAGAGCGACUUACAGUAGUGAAUGCAUACAUUUCACUUCAUACAUUUUUUUUUUAUUUUUUUUUUUUUUUUGUGCUGGCCCCCUGUGGGAAUCGAACCCACAACCCUGGCGUUGCAAACACCAUGCUCUACCAACUGAGCUACAGGG
This 1143-nucleotide long non-coding RNA is filed under the name Salmo salar (Atlantic salmon). Its description in RNAcentral is "lncRNA (ENSSSAG00000111510.1)". Lineage: Eukaryota; Metazoa; Chordata; Actinopteri; Salmoniformes; Salmonidae. The record is from RNAcentral.